RNAcentral lists this long non-coding RNA (2925 nucleotides) under Homo sapiens (human). RNAcentral's name for it is "long independently transcribed non-coding RNA 2662, transcript variant 4 (LINC02662)". The record is from RNAcentral. Lineage: Eukaryota; Metazoa; Chordata; Mammalia; Primates; Hominidae.
GCUAGCAGCUUAGAACUUUUAAAGGAGGCAAAGGCAGAGGAGAACAAAGGAAGGAGGAAGUAACUGGUGGAAUGCUGAGAAAGGUAAAAACACCUUCAAAUAAGGAAGAGGAACAGGCUAUGACCUAAUGCUUGCUUGGACCAGUAUAAGCAUGCCAGGGCAAAUAUUUGGGCUACAUUUUGGAAACUAAGAACAUAAACAUUUCAGUGUGCGGCAUCAUCAUGCAAGCUCUGUAAGAGGAGAGUAAGAUCAGUACUCCUACUUGUAAAUGAAAGAGAAGAAAACAAAAACAAGCAAAUUCCUUCUAAGGUGUGAGGAACACGAGUAAACAGAGAAAUCACCUAAGGAGAAAACAGGAAGCAGAUUUGAAACUGUGGCCACCAACGACACGAGGGAGCGCAAAACCCAGCCCACUUGCCAGGGAGGCUGGCAGAGCCCACACCCAGUCUGGUGCCCUGGUCGGUUACAUUCUGCUGUAAGUUAUUCCUGCCUUUAGCUCAUUCUAUCACAAAGCCCAAGCUCUCAAUGCCCGCAAAAUGAGCCAGCAACAGGAUUAUUCUCAUAGAAAAUGGACCAUUGACGGCUCAGUCGUUAAAGCCAAUUCAGACGAAUCAUGUCUUCUUCCAAGUGCACAACUAUCCCUAAUGUGUAACUAAUACAUAUUUGUGAAAUAACUUAUUACUGAAAAUUAGGUUUUAGUAAUUUGUAGUUAUCAAAAUAAAUUCAGUUUGAACAAAUGGAAUAUCAGACCAUAAAAAUUCAUAGGAUGUAAGAAAGAAAAUAGUAAGAAAGGCAGAUUUCUCAUAAAUAUUAUAAGUUUCAUGAUGGUUCUAUGCUUAUAGUUCUGAAAAUAUGUAAGCAAACAUCUUAAAGAUCAAUGAGAAAAAUGCCCUUUUGGAUAUAUUAGAGAACAAUUCAAGGAGAAAAAAAAUCACCAAUUCAAUGGUGAAUUUGAAUGGUGAAUAUUAUCACCAUUCAAAAAAACAGGGUAUCAUUAAUAUACAACCACAAUCCUAUUAAUAUCUACUAAUUGUGGGAAAACAUGAUUGGAAAUGGAAACAAAAAAUGCAAUAUGAGAUUGGUGGGAAAUUUAUGUUUUACCAUAGGAAAAAAUGUGAACGCAAAUUACGUUGUUCUUUCGGGAUGUACACUUCUCCCGCCUACGACCGAAUAGUGAAUAAGGUUCACAGGGAUUAUGUGAAUCCUGGGCAGGUCCUGAGCUACUCAGCAUUGAACAGCAUUCGAGGCCACUGCAGUGGAGCCACUCUCAUCAGUAACAGGUGUAUUCUCCCCUGGUUUUCAUCCUAAUACCAAGCAAGUGGGAUCUUGUAAGCAUGUGGUUUUUCUGCCCUUUCCUGGCAGUUGUCAGAUUUGUACUUACGUAGCAGCCAGGAGUACAUUAUUGUUUCCAAGGAAAGGAAAUGGCACAUCUCUUUGACAUUGCAAGAUCUGACCCACUGCUUUAAUUAGCAUUUUUACAGAAAAUAAUCUGAAAUGACAGGCAGUCUUUCCUACUUCCUUUCUGCAUUUCAGUUUUGAAGCAGCGUUCAAAAUCAGUUGUGGAUCAAGUCAAGAUGAACUCUGAAACAAUACUUUAAAUACCCCUGGAUGAUUUUGAAGGUAUUUGUAAGUGAGAAUAAUUCAUUCUGCUUUAAAGCAUAAAAUCAACUUCCCCCAAAUGCAACAUGUUAGUUAAAAGAAUCAUACCCUUUUUAAAAAAAACUUUGAUGGCAUCCAGCCAGAAACUACCUGCUCAUAAUUUGCUGAAAUCUACAUAGCUCAUCAUUUCACGUUGUAAACUCCAUUGCACAUAGAACACAUAGCUAAAACAGAGGAGCCUGCUAAAUGCACAUAUUUGCCACUGGGCUGGUCCUGGUCUUUAAAUGUGGCACACCAAUUCCACAGAAGAGAAGGUCAAACUGCUUUGAAUUUGAGAGACUCAAUCCUUUAUUUCCAUCAGACUUCCAGAAAAACAGUGACCUGAAAUGGCAGAGGGGUUCCUCAAUCCUUGUAGACAAAAUAUGAACAACCAGGCUUCUCUCCCUUCCAAUGGAACGUAAAUGGAAAAAAGCAAACCACAGCCGCCUGCAUUUAGGAGAAGCUUUUAUUUAUCUCAUUAUCAAGAUCCUUUUAAUUUGCUAAGAGUUUCUUAUGGCAAACAAAUACCUCUUACCCCCCACUUCCGAGAAUGCGGGAACAGAUGAAAGGAAAGUGUAAUGGUUUUGAUCUCAUUAGGACAUCGGCAUUAGUGGGGCAGCAAUUAUAAAAGUAAUUGACUCUGCUUCACCCGGCGUCGGGAGGGAGUCAUUCUGAAGACCCAUCGUGCUCCGAGGUUGGGCUGUCAUCCUUCAUCUUCUGCUGUGUGCCCGUGUGUUAGGUUUUCAUCCCUCAAAGGCAUUCAGUCUUUCUCUGGGACUCAAAGUGCAGCAUAAGAAAUAUCUUGGAGUGUUGGUUAUUGCUGCCUGGGAUUGACUGUUCAGAUACAGCUCCAUCAGGGAAACCAAAUAUGUUGCUGCCACCCUGACAUUUUUGUGUUUUUCUACCUGAUCAUCUGUAUAGGACAAGGGAAUUUCUUCUCUGUGGUGACCUGUCAUGAAUUAAUGAUCCCAGCAUACCCAGUAAAGUUUUUAAUGUGCAGUAUGGGUUAAUUCAUAAGACAUGGUCUGACUCAGGUUUGUUUAUACAAAAAUGUGCUCUGUCCACACCAACAUGGCACAUGUAUACACGUGUAACAAACCUGCACGUUGUACACAUGUACCCUAGAACUUAAAGUAUAUAUAUAUAAAAAAACAAAACUAGUUAUUGGGCACUAUACUCUCUACCUGGGGUUGCACCCCAACUCUCAGCAUCACACAAUAUACCCAUGUAACAACCUGCACAUGUACCCUCUGAAUAUAAAAUAAAAGUUGAAAUUAUUUAAAAAAA